Molecule: small nuclear RNA, 58 nt
Organism: Otolemur garnettii (small-eared galago)
Lineage: Eukaryota; Metazoa; Chordata; Mammalia; Primates; Galagidae
Gene: U7
Rfam family: U7 small nuclear RNA
About the family: Animal histone pre-mRNAs are spliced by a different mechanism than nuclear pre-mRNAs and self-splicing introns. This processing involves the U7 snRNP, which contains only one RNA species: U7.
Source: Ensembl
AAGUAUUAUGGCUCUUUUAGAAUUUGUCUAGGUUUUCUGGUUUUACCAGAAGACACUC